This 301-nucleotide non-coding RNA is filed under the name Schistocephalus solidus. Its description in RNAcentral is "Eukaryotic large subunit ribosomal RNA". It matches the Rfam family "Eukaryotic large subunit ribosomal RNA", at positions 2389 to 2590 of the family's 3401-position model. The record is from Rfam by way of RNAcentral. Lineage: Eukaryota; Metazoa; Platyhelminthes; Cestoda; Diphyllobothriidea; Diphyllobothriidae.
CAGAAUCACCGGAGAAAGAAGACUCUGUUUAGCUUGACUUUAGUCCGACUAUGUGAAGAGACAUGGCGGGUUAAUUAAUGAGUGGGAGGCGGGAAUCGCCCUUCGGGGUGUCUCGUUCGACAAUGAAAGACCACCCCCAUUAAUUGUUUCUAUACCUUUACAGUGAAGCGGGAAUUGUCCAGGUGCACUAUGAAGUAGCGUCAUAGUGCUUGUUGAACCGGUGGAAAACUUUCUGUAUGGUCCAAGGGUAAUACCUCUCAGUCGUUAACUGGAUGGUUACCCCGCCUUUGAACGGAAUAAU